GACGAACGCUGGCGGCGUGCUUAACACAUGCAAGUCGAACGGAAAGGCCCUGCUUUUGUGGGGUGCUCGAGUGGCGAACGGGUGAGUAACACGUGAGUAACCUGCCCUUGACUUUGGGAUAACUUCAGGAAACUGGGGCUCAUAUCGGAUAGGAGCUCCUGCUGCGUGGUGUGGGUUGGAAAGAUUCGGCGGUGGGGGAUGGACUCGCGGGUUAUCAGCUUGUUGGUGGGGUAGUGGCUUACCAAGGCUUUGACGGGUAGCCGGCCUGAGAGGGUGACCGGCCACAUUGGGACCGAGAGACGGCCCAGACUCCUACGGGAGACAGCAGUGGGGAAUAUUGCACAAUGGGCGGAAGCCUGAUGCAGCAACGCCGCGUGCGGGAUGACGGCCUUCGGGUUGUAAACCGCUUUCGCCUGUGACGAAGCGUGAGUGACGGUAAUGGGUAAAGAAGCACCGGCUAACUACGUG
Molecule: ribosomal RNA, 468 nt
Filed under: uncultured bacterium
Lineage: Bacteria
Description: partial 16S ribosomal RNA
Rfam family: Bacterial small subunit ribosomal RNA
Source: RNAcentral